UCGGGAACUGUGAGACAGGUGCUGCAUGGCUGUCGUCAGCUCGUGUUGUGAAAUGUUGGGUUAAGUCCCGCAACGAGCGCAACCCUUAUCCUUUGUUGCCAGCGGUCCGGCCGGGAACUCAAAGGAGACUGCCAGUGAUAAACUGGAGGAAGGUGGGGAUGACGUCAAGUCAUCAUGGCCCUUACGACCAGGGCUACACACGUGCUACAAUGGCGCAUACAAAGAGAAGCGACCUCGCGAGAGCAAGCGGACCUCAUAAAGUGCGUCGUAGUCCGGAUUGGAGUCUGCAACUCGACUCCAUGAAGUCGGAAUCGCUAGUAAUCGUGGAUCAGAAUGCCACGGUGAAUACGUUCCCGGGCCUUGUACACACCGCCCGUCACACCAUGGGAGUGGGUUGCAAAAGAAGUAGGUAGCUUAACCUUCGGGAGGGCGCUUACCACUUUGUGAUUCAUGACUGGGGUGAAGUCGUAACAAGGUAACCGUAGGGGAACCUGCGGUUGGAUCACCUCCUUACCUUAAAGAAGC
Molecule: ribosomal RNA, 525 nt
Filed under: Salmonella enterica subsp. enterica serovar Schwarzengrund
Lineage: Bacteria; Pseudomonadati; Pseudomonadota; Gammaproteobacteria; Enterobacterales; Enterobacteriaceae
Description: bacterial SSU rRNA
Rfam family: Bacterial small subunit ribosomal RNA
Source: RNAcentral